GCGGUGCCCCACACCGACCUANAGGAGCCUGUCCUAUAAUCGAUAAUCCACGCUAUACCUCACCACCCCUUGCAAUUCAACCUAUAUACCGCCGUCGUCAGCCUACCUUAUGAAAGAAGCAAAGUAGGCAAAACAGUUAACAACUAAAACGUCAGGUCAAGGUGUAGUAUAUGGGCUGGGAGAGAUGGGCUACACUUUCUACCACAGAAUAUACGAACAGCAUAAUGAAAUACAUGCUUGAAGGCGGAUUUAGCAGUAAGACAAACAAGAAAAUUUACCUGAAACCCGCUCUGGGGCGCGCACACACCGCCCGUCACCCUCAUCACACUUCAACUCAGCCUACAAAAUAUAAAGCUUUACACUAAAUAGAUGAGGAAAGUCGUAACACGGUAAGCGCACCGGAAGGCGCGCUUGGAAUAACAAAUAGUAGCUUAACAUAAAGCAUUCAGCUUACAAUUGAAACAUGUUAGUGAAACCCUAACCUUUUUGA
RNAcentral lists this ribosomal RNA (490 nucleotides) under Trachylepis gravenhorstii (Gravenhorst's mabuya). Its description in RNAcentral is "partial 12S ribosomal RNA". The stretch from base 1 to 427 matches the Rfam family "Bacterial small subunit ribosomal RNA", at positions 913 to 1533 of the family's 1533-position model. Lineage: Eukaryota; Metazoa; Chordata; Lepidosauria; Squamata; Scincidae. The record is from RNAcentral.